GAAAACGGGUGGUAAUGCCGGAUGCUCCAGUUGAUCGCAUGGUCUUCUGGGAAAGCUUUCGCGGUAUGGGAUGGGGUCGCGUCCUAUCAGCUUGACGGCGGGGUAACGGCCCACCGUGGCUUCGACGGGUAGCCGGCCUGAGAGGGCGACCGGCCACAUUGGGACUGAGAUACGGCCCAGACUCCUACGGGAGGCAGCAGUGGGGAAUAUUGCACAAUGGGCGCAAGCCUGAUGCAGCGACGCCGCGUGAGGGAUGGAGGCCUUCGGGUUGUAAACCUCUUUUAUCGGGGAGCAAGCGAGAGUGAGUUUACCCGUUGAAUAAGCACCGGCUAACUACGUGCCAGCAGCCGCGGUAAUACGUAGGGUGCAAGCGUUAUCCGGAAUUAUUGGGCGUAAAGGGCUCGUAGGCGGUUCGUCGCGUCCGGUGUGAAAGUCCAUCGCUUAACGGUGGAUCCGCGCCGGGUACGGGCGGGCUUGAGUGCGGUAGGGGAGACUGGAAUUCCCGGUGUAACGGUGGAAUGUGUA
Molecule: ribosomal RNA, 525 nt
Filed under: Bifidobacterium longum subsp. suillum
Lineage: Bacteria; Bacillati; Actinomycetota; Actinomycetes; Bifidobacteriales; Bifidobacteriaceae
Description: bacterial SSU rRNA
Rfam family: Bacterial small subunit ribosomal RNA
Source: RNAcentral